RNAcentral lists this ribosomal RNA (558 nucleotides) under Bacillus halotolerans. RNAcentral describes it as "bacterial SSU rRNA". It matches the Rfam family "Bacterial small subunit ribosomal RNA", at positions 366 to 916 of the family's 1533-position model. Lineage: Bacteria; Bacillati; Bacillota; Bacilli; Caryophanales; Bacillaceae. The record is from RNAcentral.
UCGCAUGAACGAAGUCUGACGGAGCACGCCGCGUGAGUGAUGAAGGUUUUCGGAUCGUAAAGCUCUGUUGUUAGGGAAGAACAAGUACCGUUCGAAUAGGGCGGUACCUUGACGGUACCUAACCAGAAAGCCACGGCUAACUACGUGCCAGCAGCCGCGGUAAUACGUAGGUGGCAAGCGUUGUCCGGAAUUAUUGGGCGUAAAGGGCUCGCAGGCGGUUCCUUAAGUCUGAUGUGAAAGCCCCCGGCUCAACCGGGGAGGGUCAUUGGAAACUGGGGAACUUGAGUGCAGAAAAGGAGAGUGGAAUUCCACGUGUAGCGGUGAAAUGCGUAAAGAUGUGGAGGAACACCAGUGGCGAAGGCGACUCUCUGGUCUGUAACUGACGCUGAGGAGCGAAAGCGUGGGGAGCGAACAGGAUUAAAUACCCUGGUAGUCCACGCCGUAAACGAUGAGUGCUAAGUGUUAGGGGGUUUCCGCCCCUUAGUGCUGCAGCUAACGCAUUAAGCACUCCGCCUGGGGAGUACGGUCGCAAGACUGAAACUCAAAUGAAAUUGACGG